RNAcentral lists this small nuclear RNA (108 nucleotides) under Caenorhabditis japonica. Its description in RNAcentral is "snRNA CJA48997". Lineage: Eukaryota; Metazoa; Nematoda; Chromadorea; Rhabditida; Rhabditidae. The record is from RNAcentral.
GGUUUAAUUACCCAAGUUUGAGGUAAUCAAGUACAAGUCGUCUGACCGCCGACAACAACUCGCUGACCGACAGCGAAUUUAAAGUUUUUUUUUAGAAGUUGAAAAAAG